UAUAGAGGUCCCAAGCGUUGUUCGGAUUCACUGGGCGUAAAGGGUGCGUAGGCGGUCGGGUAAGUCUGACGUGAAAUCUCACAGCUUAACUGUGAAACUGCAUUGGAUACUAUCCGGCUAGAGGAAUGGAGGGGAGACUGGAAUACUUGGUGUAGCAGUGAAAUGCGUAGAUAUCAAGUGGAACACCAGUGGCGAAGGCGAGUCUCUGGACAUUUCCUGACGCUGAGGCACGAAAGCCAGGGGAGCAAACGGG
RNAcentral lists this ribosomal RNA (253 nucleotides) under uncultured bacterium. RNAcentral describes it as "partial 16S ribosomal RNA". It matches the Rfam family "Bacterial small subunit ribosomal RNA", at positions 524 to 776 of the family's 1533-position model. The record is from RNAcentral.